Molecule: ribosomal RNA, 253 nt
Filed under: Klebsiella pneumoniae
Lineage: Bacteria; Pseudomonadati; Pseudomonadota; Gammaproteobacteria; Enterobacterales; Enterobacteriaceae
Description: partial 16S ribosomal RNA
Rfam family: Bacterial small subunit ribosomal RNA
Source: RNAcentral
UCUGGGAAACUGCCUGAUGGAGGGGGAUAACUACUGGAAACGGUAGCUAAUACCGCAUAAUGUCGCAAGACCAAAGUGGGGGACCUUCGGGCCUCAUGCCAUCAGAUGUGCCCAGAUGGGAUUAGCUUGUAGGUGGGGUAACGGCUCACCUAGGCGACGAUCCCUAGCUGGUCUGAGAGGAUGACCAGCCACACUGGAACUGAGACACGGUCCAGACUCCUACGGGAGGCAGCAGUGGGGAAUAUUGCACAAU